This 113-nucleotide ribosomal RNA is filed under the name Salvator merianae (Argentine black and white tegu). Lineage: Eukaryota; Metazoa; Chordata; Lepidosauria; Squamata; Teiidae. The record is from RNAcentral.
UUUAGCAUUUAGGCUGCUCCUCACUGAUCUCAUCUUAUCUUGGUUGCUAAGAAGGGCUGGGUCUGGAUAGCAUUUGGGUGGGAGAGUAUUUGGGAAAACCAGAAAUGCCAGGU